RNAcentral lists this transfer RNA (396 nucleotides) under Microcystis ichthyoblabe NRERC-208. Its description in RNAcentral is "partial 16S-23S ribosomal RNA intergenic spacer". The stretch from base 150 to 223 matches the Rfam family "tRNA". The record is from RNAcentral. Lineage: Bacteria; Bacillati; Cyanobacteriota; Cyanophyceae; Chroococcales; Microcystaceae.
CUGGAUCACCUCCUUAAAGGGAGACCUAAUUCAGGUAGGAGACGAAAAAAAGUAGUCCCUACCAAGAAUCAAUCCCAAAAGGUCGGAGCGAGGCAAAAUUGGCUUUCAAACUAGGUUCUGGGUUCACACAAGACCUGAAUCAGGAACAAGGGCUAUUAGCUCAGGUGGUUAGAGCGCACCCCUGAUAAGGGUGAGGUCCCUGGUUCGAGUCCAGGAUGGCCCACCUGUACAGGUGGCAAAAAGAAAGAAAAGAAGCGAGGAAUCAGCACCUUAUCUUACUUAUAUAGUAAGAGAGAAUGCUGGCUCUGAGUUCAGAGUCCAGAGGAACCUUGAAAACUGCAUAGAGCUAGGUGAAAAAGCCAAAAAAGAAGACCGCAAGGUCAAGCUAAUAAGGGC